GGCGCGAUACCCAAGUGGUUAAGGGGCCGGUUUGCAAAACCGUUAUUCGCGGGUUCGACUCCCGCUCGCGCCUCAA
Molecule: transfer RNA, 76 nt
Filed under: Deltaproteobacteria bacterium CG_4_10_14_0_2_um_filter_43_8
Lineage: Bacteria; Deltaproteobacteria
Also listed under: 2 other names
Description: tRNA-Cys
Rfam family: tRNA
About the family: Transfer RNA (tRNA) molecules are approximately 80 nucleotides in length.
Source: RNAcentral